UAGGGAAUCUUCGGCAAUGGACGGAAGUCUGACCGAGCAACGCCGCGUGAGUGAAGAAGGUUUUCGGAUCGUAAAGCUCUGUUGUAAGAGAAGAACGAGUGUGAGAGUAGAAAGUUCACACUGUGACGGUAUCUUACCAGAAAGGGACGGCUAACUACGUGCCAGCAGCCGCGGUAAUACGUAGGUCCCGAGCGUUGUCCGGAUUUAUUGGGCGUAAAGCGAGCGCAGGCGGUUAGAUAAGUCUGAAGUUAAAGGCUGUGGCUUAACCAUAGUAGGCUUUGGAAACUGUUUAACUUGAGUGCAAGAGGGGAGAGUGGAAUUCCAUGUGUAGCGGUGAAAUGCGUAGAUAUAUGGAGGAACACCGGUGGCGAAAGCGGCUCUCUGGCUUGUAACUGACGCUGAGGCUCGAAAGCGUGGGGAGCAAACAGGAUUAGAUACCCUGGUAGUCCACGCUGUAAACGAUGAGUGCUAGGUGUUAGACCCUUUCCGGGGUUUAGUGCCGUAGCUAACGCAUUAAGCACUCCGCCUGGGGAGUACGACCGCAAGGUU
RNAcentral lists this ribosomal RNA (549 nucleotides) under uncultured bacterium. RNAcentral describes it as "bacterial SSU rRNA". It matches the Rfam family "Bacterial small subunit ribosomal RNA", at positions 355 to 895 of the family's 1533-position model. The record is from RNAcentral.